RNAcentral lists this ribosomal RNA (1540 nucleotides) under Staphylococcus aureus H84973. RNAcentral's name for it is "16S ribosomal RNA". It matches the Rfam family "Bacterial small subunit ribosomal RNA". The record is from RNAcentral. Lineage: Bacteria; Bacillati; Bacillota; Bacilli; Caryophanales; Staphylococcaceae.
AGAGUUUGAUCCUGGCUCAGGAUGAACGCUGGCGGCGUGCCUAAUACAUGCAAGUCGAGCGAACGGACGAGAAGCUUGCUUCUCUGAUGUUAGCGGCGGACGGGUGAGUAACACGUGGAUAACCUACCUAUAAGACUGGGAUAACUUCGGGAAACCGGAGCUAAUACCGGAUAAUAUUUUGAACCGCAUGGUUCAAAAGUGAAAGACGGUCUUGCUGUCACUUAUAGAUGGAUCCGCGCUGCAUUAGCUAGUUGGUAAGGUAACGGCUUACCAAGGCAACGAUGCAUAGCCGACCUGAGAGGGUGAUCGGCCACACUGGAACUGAGACACGGUCCAGACUCCUACGGGAGGCAGCAGUAGGGAAUCUUCCGCAAUGGGCGAAAGCCUGACGGAGCAACGCCGCGUGAGUGAUGAAGGUCUUCGGAUCGUAAAACUCUGUUAUUAGGGAAGAACAUAUGUGUAAGUAACUGUGCACAUCUUGACGGUACCUAAUCAGAAAGCCACGGCUAACUACGUGCCAGCAGCCGCGGUAAUACGUAGGUGGCAAGCGUUAUCCGGAAUUAUUGGGCGUAAAGCGCGCGUAGGCGGUUUUUUAAGUCUGAUGUGAAAGCCCACGGCUCAACCGUGGAGGGUCAUUGGAAACUGGAAAACUUGAGUGCAGAAGAGGAAAGUGGAAUUCCAUGUGUAGCGGUGAAAUGCGCAGAGAUAUGGAGGAACACCAGUGGCGAAGGCGACUUUCUGGUCUGUAACUGACGCUGAUGUGCGAAAGCGUGGGGAUCAAACAGGAUUAGAUACCCUGGUAGUCCACGCCGUAAACGAUGAGUGCUAAGUGUUAGGGGGUUUCCGCCCCUUAGUGCUGCAGCUAACGCAUUAAGCACUCCGCCUGGGGAGUACGACCGCAAGGUUGAAACUCAAAGGAAUUGACGGGGACCCGCACAAGUGGUGGAGCAUGUGGUUUAAUUCGAAGCAACGCGAAGAACCUUACCAAAUCUUGACAUCCUUUGACAACUCUAGAGAUAGAGCCUUCCCCUUCGGGGGACAAAGUGACAGGUGGUGCAUGGUUGUCGUCAGCUCGUGUCGUGAGAUGUUGGGUUAAGUCCCGCAACGAGCGCAACCCUUAAGCUUAGUUGCCAUCAUUAAGUUGGGCACUCUAAGUUGACUGCCGGUGACAAACCGGAGGAAGGUGGGGAUGACGUCAAAUCAUCAUGCCCCUUAUGAUUUGGGCUACACACGUGCUACAAUGGACAAUACAAAGGGCAGCGAAACCGCGAGGUCAAGCAAAUCCCAUAAAGUUGUUCUCAGUUCGGAUUGUAGUCUGCAACUCGACUACAUGAAGCUGGAAUCGCUAGUAAUCGUAGAUCAGCAUGCUACGGUGAAUACGUUCCCGGGUCUUGUACACACCGCCCGUCACACCACGAGAGUUUGUAACACCCGAAGCCGGUGGAGUAACCUUUUAGGAGCUAGCCGUCGAAGGUGGGACAAAUGAUUGGGGUGAAGUCGUAACAAGGUAGCCGUAUCGGAAGGUGCGGCUGGAUCACCU